UGAUACAAUUACAAAAAAAGACUGGUUAUAAUGAACAGUAAGACCUAUGAUGAAUAAAUGGUACUGUAGGGAUAGGUGGGUUUUCUCUAUGAUUAAUGAAUGGUACUGUAGGGAUAGGUGGGUUUUCUCUAUGAUUAAUGAAUGGUACUGUAGGGAUAGGUGGGUUUUCUCUAUGAUUAAUGAAUGGUACUGUAGGGAUAGGUGGGUUUUCUCUAUGAUUAAUGAAUGGUACUGUAGGGAUAGGUGGGUUUUCUCUAUGAUUAAUGAAUGGUACUGUAGGGAUAGGUGGGUUUUCUCUAUGAUUAAUAAAUGGUACUGUAGGGAUAGGUGGGUUUUCUCUAUGAUUAAUGAAUGGUACUGUAGGGAUAGGUGGGUUUUCUCUAUGAUUAAUGAAUGGUACUGUAGGGAUAGGUGGGUUUUCUCUAUGAUUAAUGAAUGGUACUGUAGGGAUAGGUGGGUUUUCUCUAUGAUUAAUGAAUGGUACUGUAGGGAUAGGUGGGUUUUCUCUAUGAUUAAUGAAUGGUACUGUAGGGAUAGGUGGGUUUUCUCUAUGAUUAAUGAAUGGUACUGUAGGGAUAGGUGGGUUUUCUCUAUGAUUAAUGAAUGGUACUGUAGGGAUAGGUGGGUUUUCUCUAUGAUUAAUGAAUGGUACUGUAGGGAUAGGUGGGUUUUCUCUAUGAUUAAUGAAUGGUACUGUAGGGAUAGGUGGGUUUUCUCUAUGAUUAAUGAAUGGUACUGUAGGGAUAGGUGGGUUUUCUCUAUGAUUAAUAAAUGGUACUGUAGGGAUAGGUGGGUUUUCUCUAUGAUUAAUGAAUGGUACUGUAGGGAUAGGUGGGUUUUCUCUAUGAUUAAUGAAUGGUACUGUAGGGAUAGGUGGGUUUUCUCUAUGAUUAAUG
Long non-coding RNA from Oncorhynchus keta (chum salmon), 896 nucleotides. RefSeq lists it as uncharacterized. The transcript is spliced from 6 exons. NCBI's taxonomy places the organism in Eukaryota, Metazoa, Chordata, Actinopteri, Salmoniformes, Salmonidae. The record is from RefSeq and is a predicted model, not a curated record.